CAAUAUUAAAUGCUUUGGAUCUCCCUGCAUACAGUGGUGACAUAAGAGACUCAUAUCAGAGAAUAGGAAUUAAUGGGUAACUCAACCUUGCCCAUGGGCAUUUUUCAAAUUCAAUGAAACUUCCAAGAAUUCUAGGCAGCUGUUAUACAGAAGGCAUAAUACUAAAUAUAAGGAACAGAAAACUAAAGGAAAGUUCCGAAUGACUAGUAGAAAGAUCCUCCGGACCCAAGCUCAAGGAACAUUACAUAGCUUGUUCUUAGAGAGCAGAAUUGGGAAGAGGAGAUAACAGAAACUAUGUGCGUCGAUUAGAUAACUUACUGUUAUGCUGAAUAACCUGUAAAGGACAUCAUUCAUACCCCCAGUUUCUUCAUUGAGUGAAAGAAAAUGUCUUUCA
RNAcentral lists this unclassified non-coding RNA (394 nucleotides) under Hevea brasiliensis (rubber tree). The record is from RNAcentral. Lineage: Eukaryota; Viridiplantae; Streptophyta; Magnoliopsida; Malpighiales; Euphorbiaceae.